RNAcentral lists this ribosomal RNA (482 nucleotides) under uncultured bacterium. Its description in RNAcentral is "bacterial SSU rRNA". It matches the Rfam family "Bacterial small subunit ribosomal RNA", at positions 29 to 507 of the family's 1533-position model. The record is from RNAcentral.
AUUGAACGCUGGCGGCAUGCCUUACACAUGCAAGUCGAACGGUAACGCGGGGCAACCUGGCGACGAGUGGCGAACGGGUGAGUAAUAUAUCGGAACGUGCCCAGUAGUGGGGGAUAGCCCGGCGAAAGCCGGAUUAAUACCGCAUGAGACCUGAGGGUGAAAGCGGGGGAUCGCAAGACCUCGCGCUAUUGGAGCGGCCGAUAUCAGAUUAGGUAGUUGGUGGGGUAAAGGCCUACCAAGCCGACGAUCUGUAGCUGGUCUGAGAGGACGACCAGCCACACUGGGACUGAGACACGGCCCAGACUCCUACGGGAGGCAGCAGUGGGGAAUUUUGGACAAUGGGCGCAAGCCUGAUCCAGCCAUGCCGCGUGCGGGAAGAAGGCCUUCGGGUUGUAAACCGCUUUUGUCAGGGAAGAAAUCUUCUGGGUUAAUACCUCGGGAGGAUGACGGUACCUGAAGAAUAAGCACCGGCUAACUACGUG